AAUAUUGGACAAUGGGGGCAACCCUGAUCCAGCCAUGCCGCGUGUGUGAAGAAGGUCUCCGGAUUGUAAAGCACUUUAAGUUGGGAGGAAGGGCUUUAGGUUAAUACCCUGAAGUUUUGACGUUACCAACAGAAUAAGCACCGGCUAACUCUGUGCCAGCAGCCGCGGUAAUACAGAGGGUGCAAGCGUUAGUCGGAAUUACGGGGCGGAAGCGGGGGGUAGUUGGUUAGGAAGAUUGGUUUUAAAACCCCGGGCUUAACCUGGGAACUGCUUUCAUAACUGCUGAGCUAGAGUACGGUAGAGGGUAGUGGAAUUUCCUGUGUAGCGGUGAAAUGCGUAGAUAUAGGAAGGAACACCAGUGGCGAAGGCGACUACCUGGACUGAUACUGACACUGAGGUGCGAAAGCGUGGGGAGCAAAC
This 420-nucleotide ribosomal RNA is filed under the name uncultured bacterium. RNAcentral describes it as "partial 16S ribosomal RNA". It matches the Rfam family "Bacterial small subunit ribosomal RNA", at positions 360 to 773 of the family's 1533-position model. The record is from RNAcentral.